GGAUUAGAUACCCUGGUAGUCCACACCGUAAACGCUGUCUACUAGCUGUGUGUGUCUUUAAGACGUGCGUAGCGAAGCUAACGCGCUAAGUAGACCGCCUGGGGAGUACGGCCGCAAGGUUAAAACUCAAAUGAAUUGACGGGGGCCCGCACAAGCGGUGGAGCAUGUGGUUUAAACCCUGAUGCAGCCAUGCCGCGUGUGUGAAGAACCUUACCUACACUUGACAUGCUGAGAAGUUACUAGAGAUAGUUUCGUGCCUUCGGGAACUCAGACACAGGUGCUGCAUGGCUGUCGUCAGCUCGUGCCG
RNAcentral lists this ribosomal RNA (307 nucleotides) under uncultured bacterium. RNAcentral describes it as "bacterial SSU rRNA". It matches the Rfam family "Bacterial small subunit ribosomal RNA", at positions 775 to 1067 of the family's 1533-position model. The record is from RNAcentral.